UCCCAAUUCUUGAAAGCUUACGUGCGCGAUGAUGAAAACUUGGUUCCUUACAUUCGCAGUUUCCACGGUAGGAGUACGCCAACGAACCCAUCGUAUAGUGCUCCCGGUGACCGCUCUUCUUGAGACCUUCCUAGGAUGUCUGAGUGCACGUUUGCUAGUUGGAAUUA
Lachancea thermotolerans CBS 6340 is the source of this 167-nucleotide small nucleolar RNA. NCBI's taxonomy places the organism in Eukaryota, Fungi, Ascomycota, Saccharomycetes, Saccharomycetales, Saccharomycetaceae. The record is from RefSeq and is a predicted model, not a curated record.